Molecule: transfer RNA, 75 nt
Filed under: soil metagenome
Rfam family: tRNA
About the family: Transfer RNA (tRNA) molecules are approximately 80 nucleotides in length. Their secondary structure includes four short double-helical elements and three loops (D, anti-codon, and T loops).
Source: RNAcentral
GCUCUCUUCGUUCAUUCGGCAGGACGCCGCUUUGGUAAGGCGGAAAGACAGGAUCAUAGCCUGUAGAGAGCACCA